CGAGCAUGCUUUGAAAUGACUUGCUCAUCAACUGUCGAUGGUAGGUUACGUGCCUACCAUGGUGACAACGGUUAACGGAGAAUAGGGGUUCGGUUCCGGAGAAGGAGCCUGAGAGACGGCUACUACAUCCAAGGAAGGCAGCAGGCGCGCAAAUUACCCACUCCCGGAACGGGGAGGUAGUGACGAUAAAUAACGGAACGUAUCUCGAUGAGACGCGUUACCGGAACGACCGAGC
RNAcentral lists this ribosomal RNA (235 nucleotides) under Paracapillaria philippinensis. RNAcentral's name for it is "partial small subunit ribosomal RNA". It matches the Rfam family "Eukaryotic small subunit ribosomal RNA", at positions 288 to 523 of the family's 1831-position model. The record is from RNAcentral. Lineage: Eukaryota; Metazoa; Nematoda; Enoplea; Trichinellida; Capillariidae.